This 48-nucleotide non-coding RNA is filed under the name Trichobilharzia regenti. Lineage: Eukaryota; Metazoa; Platyhelminthes; Trematoda; Strigeidida; Schistosomatidae. The record is from RNAcentral.
GUACUGAUGAAGAGUCCCGAACAUUAGGACGAAACAGCUGUCCAGUAC